RNAcentral lists this ribosomal RNA (649 nucleotides) under Ixodes ovatus. Its description in RNAcentral is "12S ribosomal RNA". Lineage: Eukaryota; Metazoa; Arthropoda; Arachnida; Ixodida; Ixodidae. The record is from RNAcentral.
AUUUUUUUUAAUUGUAGAAGAAAUAUUUAUUAUUUUAAUAAAAAUAAAAUAGAAAUUUAAAUUAAGUUUGGCUAAACUUGUGCCAGCCGCCGCGGUUAUACAAGUGAAUUAGUUUUUUGUUUAAUUAUUUUUAAUAAAAAAAUUAGUUUUAUUGUAGAAGAUUAUUAAGGUGAAAUUUAUAAUUUUUUUUGUAAUUAUUUUGAUUUUAAAUAAAUUUUAAUUAUAAACUAGGAUUAGAUACCCUAUUAUUUAAAGCUUAAUGUUGGUAGUAAAUAUUAAUUAUGAAAUCAUAAGAUUUUGGCGGUAUUUUAAGCUUUUUAGAGGAAUUUGCUCUAUCAUGGAUAAAACGCCUGGAUCUUACUUAAUUUUGUUAAAUCAGUUUGUAUACCACUAUAUUUAAUUAUAUUAAAUGAUUAUAUUUAAGAUUUUUUUUAUAAAAAUUAUAUUAAGUCAAGGUGCAGCAUAAAAUUAUGUAUGAAGUGAAUUACAUUGAUUUUUAUUAAUAUUAAAUGAAAAAUUAUUUAGGAUUUAAAAGUAAAAUGCUAAUAUAAUGAGUAUUUGAAUUAAGCUCUAGAAUAUGCACAUAUCGCCCGUCGCUCUCAAUUUUGAGAUAAGUCGUAACAAAGUAAAAGUACUGGAAAGUGUUUUU